GCCGGCGACGGUUCAUUCAAAUUUCUGCCCUAUCAACUUUCGAUGGUAAGGUAUUGGCUUACCAUGGUUUCAACGGGUAACGGGGAAUUAGGGUUCGAUUCCGGAGAGGGAGCCUGAGAAACGGCUACCACAUCCAAGGAAGGCAGCAGGCGCGCAAAUUACCCAAUUCCGAUACGGAGAGGUAGUGACAAUAAAUACUGAUACAGGGCUCUUUUGGGUCUUGUAAUUGGAAGGAGUACAAUUUAAACCUCUUAACGAGGAACAAUUGGAGGGCAAGUCUGGUGCCAGCAGCCGCGGUAAUUCCAGCUCCAAUAGCGUAUAUUAAAGUUGUUGCAGUUAAAAAGCUCGUAGUUGAACCUUUGGCCUGGCUGGCAGGUCCGCCUCACCGCGUGCACUUGUCCGGCCGGGCCUUUUCUUCUGGAGAACCGCAUGCCCUUCACUGGGUGUGUUGGGGACCAGGACUUUUACUUUGAAAAAAUUAGAGUGUUCAAAGCAGGCCUUUGCUCGAAUACGUUAGCAUGGAAUAAUAGAAUAGGACGUGCGGUCCUAUUUUGUUGGUUUCUAGGACCGCCGUAAUGAUUAAUAGGGACAGUCGGGGGCAUCAGUAUUCA
RNAcentral lists this ribosomal RNA (611 nucleotides) under Paraphaeosphaeria sp. N119. Its description in RNAcentral is "SSU rRNA". It matches the Rfam family "Eukaryotic small subunit ribosomal RNA", at positions 283 to 900 of the family's 1831-position model. Lineage: Eukaryota; Fungi; Ascomycota; Dothideomycetes; Pleosporales; Didymosphaeriaceae. The record is from RNAcentral.